UCUAUGGUCCUCUUACUGACCUUUCCUGAUUUUUGCAAUAUUCAGUUUGGAAGAAAAGUCAAAGCAGUACUACUAUUGGGUUUGAACUGUAGUUAUAUUAGUAAAAAUGACUUGGAGCUCACCCUUCCAAGAAAGAUCAUCCUAACUGCCCAUCAUGGGUACAGCAGAGGCUCUGCCUGAAAAAGCAAAAUGUCUUACUUUAAAGAUCACAAGGCAAGAUUUUCUUCAAGAAGCAAACACUCUCAUUGCUCAACAUUAUGAGAAAAUAA
Non-coding RNA from Heterocephalus glaber (naked mole-rat), 269 nucleotides. NCBI's taxonomy places the organism in Eukaryota, Metazoa, Chordata, Mammalia, Rodentia, Bathyergidae. The record is from RefSeq and is a predicted model, not a curated record.